Molecule: long non-coding RNA, 2418 nt
Organism: Bicyclus anynana (squinting bush brown)
Lineage: Eukaryota; Metazoa; Arthropoda; Insecta; Lepidoptera; Nymphalidae
Exons: 2
Source: RefSeq, a predicted model, not a curated record
UUUAGUUUUAGCCUGCCUGUCCACCAGAGCGGAGCUAGUGAGCAUAGCGGAGAAACGGAGUAAUGCGGAGCGGAGUUGCGUACUGUCUCUUUCCACCGAAGAGGAGCGAGGCUCCGGAGCGAAGUGAGAAAAUAAUGUGCAGCCGAGUUGCAGACGUGAUUCCCCGCUUCGCUUACCCUUUUUAUAUGAAUUUUUAAACUAGCUCGCAAGUCUGUCUACUUAAGAACAGCGGAGAUUUUAUGCAAUCCUAAUAAUAAUUAAUAUUUCUGUUUCUCUGCUCCGCUGCCUCGCUCCGCUUCGGUGGACCGGCAGCCUUAACCAUAGACUUGUAUUGAACUUGAUGCCACCUUUUCAUCCAAUCAUGGCUUUUUUAUGUCAUUACUUUCGCCAAUUUAUUGUGACUGUGCUAGAUCUCACUACGACCACAGUACAUUAAAAGAGAGUAGUACUACCAAGUACCAAGGCUUUAAGUUAUUCUAUAAUAUGUGUAAUUUUUUUCACUUUGACGACCCUUCUAGUGCAGUUGCCACAAAGAAUAACCUUGGUUACAAACAGGGUGAUUGUGGGAUUGAUUCCCAGCCUGGGUCAAUGUAGGAUUGUACAUUAUUUAAAUUCCCUUUAAGGAGAAGAAGACUUGUAUAUAUGAAGGCCUGACUCUGUAGGCCGUUAAAAUAGCUCUUAAUCAUCAUCAUUGUUAGAUUAGACAGAGAAGCAUUAAACAAAAAAAUCCAUAAAUUGCUUAAAAAACGCCUUAAAUGAACGCUACUACGCUAAGAUCACUGACAAACCGUCAGGGUGUGAGUUACAAGCAUGUUGCCAUGAUAAAAAUUGUUAAUAAAUGUUGUCAGCUAAUGAAAAAAAUACAUUUUAUUUAGUUCAUUUAAAAAAAAUGCGGGUUCCAAAAAAAAAUAUUUUGGGUUUUAAGCCCUAUAUUUUUUAUGUUAUAAGAUAAAAAUAAAUUGUUCUGCUUAGUUGACACUCGGAAUAAAGGCCCAGCCUCCAUACAAAAUUGGGACAUGUCCUUUGGAAUGGAAAUAGAUUUUACUUUACUUUCAUACCGGGAAAGUUCAUGGUUCCCAUGGGAUUUGUGAAAAACUGACUUCCACGCGGACGAAGUCGCGGGUAUCCGCUAGUAGGUUAUAUAAUCUUUGCAUCACCACUUGGCAAUUACGUAAUUAGGAACGCUGUGCAGUCAAGUGUUAACUUUCGGUUUGCGUGAAAUCCGUCUUAUCAAGUUUUUGUUAUGUGAGGUUAUUAUGUUAUUAUUUUUGUACUUUUGUUAAAAAUAGACACAAACCACUAAAUGCCUAAAAAUAGAAAAAUCAAUCAUUUUGCUCUGAAAUGGCUUCCAAAAAACCCGGUAAAUGGGCAUUUAGCACUAAUCUUGCACGCUUGGUUAAAUAAAUUGCAAUUUGCAAUAUCUACUUAUAUAAUAUAUAAGUAGUGUAACAGAAUUGUGUAGGUACAUGGAAAUCCCUGUAAAAACAGGAAAAUGUAGCAUGAGGAUGAAUAUACACACUUGAGUAACAUGUAUUAUAGAACUAAGAAAUACUAACAUUUGCUGUUUGCAAUCAACUACAGAAUGCAGUCAAGUAUCCAGUAAAAGAUUGAAAUUAUAAUUAUUCGUUGGCUAGUUAUAACUCAGGGGCACUCAGCAAAAAUAUGGGGCCUCUGGACUACAUGGGCCCCUUACGUGUUUUUCCGUGUGCCUCGUAUUCGUACUCGUAGUGCUAAGUCACUGUCAUAUUUAUUUUAAGCGAGCAUUUUUGUUUCUUUCGUGAGAAAUAUUUACCCUUCAUUUGGGCCCCCCAAAUAAUUUUGAUAUCGGGCCCCUCUAGGGCACGCUACGCCACUGUUAUAACAAAUUAGAGCCAGUGCCAGUGACACUGAGCCCGUCAACUCGUAGCAUGGUGGACUCUAAAUUCUUCUCGUUUAUAGAAGAGCCAUGAGCCCUGGAUCUGUAUCUUAUGAUGAUGAUGAUGAUGAUAAUAAUAACAAUGGGUGGCGUGAUAUUCUUUAAGUGGCAUCUAUCAAGUGGUUAUUCUGUAUUUAAUAUAAUCAAGUUGUCUUCAACUCGCCUCGACCUUACAAAGGGUCGGUGUGCUUUGCGAAGGUCACAGAUAUACGACAUAAUGUAUUACGUGGUCGUUAUUUGUAUGCCACUAGAUAUAAGUUAACACGGCAUAAAUAACACAAAAAUAGCAACAAGCACGAAUAAGCUUAGCGAAUGUGGUUACGAUUUUCAUAAGUAGUAUCUCGUUUUGAUCUGGUGAAAAUUAACUACCAAGUGUACAUGUUUCCCAAAGAGCCAUGGAAAGGAGCAUGCUAGGCCUAAAAAUAAAACAUAAAAUAAAAAAUAAAAUAAUAAGGAACAGGACAAAAGUUAUAGACGCGGCCAAACUAGCAUGUCUCCUAAAA